This 205-nucleotide microRNA precursor is filed under the name Marchantia polymorpha subsp. ruderalis. It matches the Rfam family "MIR159 microRNA precursor family". The record is from RNAcentral. Lineage: Eukaryota; Viridiplantae; Streptophyta; Marchantiopsida; Marchantiales; Marchantiaceae.
GGAUCAUUGCUGGCUCUUGAUGGAGCUUUUUUUCAGUUCAACUCUGGCUGGACUGGAGCUGGAGCUGCUGCUGAAUCAUGCAUUCGCCUACUCUGUCCUAGAUUACAAGGGCAAAGUAGUUGCAUGCCUGAAGCAGGAGUUGCACCUACCUCCUAUUUGGCCCGACUUGGACUGAAGGGAGCUCCCUCGCCUGCUGUCUUGAUCU